UACGGAGGGUGCGAGCGUUGUCCGGAAUCAUUGGCGAAAGGGCGCGUAGGUGGCCCGGUCAGUUCGUGGUGAAAGCGCGGGGCUCAACCCUGCGUCGGCCAUGAAUACUGCCGCGGCUGGAGCACUGUAGAGGCAGGCGGAAUUCCGGGUGAGCGGUGGAAUGCGUAGAGAUCCGGAAGAACACCGGUGGCGAAGGCGGC
This 200-nucleotide ribosomal RNA is filed under the name uncultured bacterium. Its description in RNAcentral is "partial 16S ribosomal RNA". It matches the Rfam family "Bacterial small subunit ribosomal RNA", at positions 524 to 725 of the family's 1533-position model. The record is from RNAcentral.